GAAAUGCGAUAAGUAAUGUGAAUUGCAGAAUUCAGUGAAUCAUCGAAUCUUUGAACGCACAUUGCGCCCGCCAGUAUUCUGGCGGGCAUGCCUGUUCGAGCGUCAUUUCAACCAUCAAGCCCCCGGGCUUGUGUUGGGGACCUGCGGCUGCCCGCAGGCCCUGAAAACCAGUGGCGGGCUCGCUGUCACACCGAGUGUAGUAGCAAUCACCUCGCUCAGGGCGUGCUGCGGGUUCCGGCCGUUAAACAGCCUUACAAAACCCAAGGUUGACCUCGGAUCAGGUAGGAAGACCCGCUGAACUUAAGC
This 306-nucleotide unclassified non-coding RNA is filed under the name plant metagenome. Its description in RNAcentral is "partial contains 5.8S ribosomal RNA, internal transcribed spacer 2, and large subunit ribosomal RNA". The stretch from base 1 to 105 matches the Rfam family "5.8S ribosomal RNA", at positions 50 to 154 of the family's 154-position model. The record is from RNAcentral.